This 301-nucleotide ribosomal RNA is filed under the name uncultured bacterium. RNAcentral describes it as "partial 16S ribosomal RNA". It matches the Rfam family "Bacterial small subunit ribosomal RNA", at positions 509 to 807 of the family's 1533-position model. The record is from RNAcentral.
CAGUAGCCGCGGUAAUACGUAGGUGGCAAGCGUUGUCCGGAAUUAUUGGGCGUAAAGGGCUCGCAGGCGGUUUGACAAGUCUUAUGUGAAAUCUUCGGGCUCAACCCGAAGUCUGCAUGGGAAACUGUCGGGCUUGAGUAUUGGAGAGGUGAGUGGAGUUUCCGGUGUAGCGGUGAAAUGCGUAGAUAUCGGAAGGAACACCUGUGGCGAAAGCGGCUCACUGGACAAUAACUGACGCUGAUGCACGAAAGCUAGGGGAGCAAACAGGAUUAGAUACCCCCGUAGUCCCUGUCUCUUAUAC